Molecule: ribosomal RNA, 301 nt
Filed under: uncultured bacterium
Lineage: Bacteria
Description: partial 16S ribosomal RNA
Rfam family: Bacterial small subunit ribosomal RNA
Source: RNAcentral
CAGUAGCCGCGGUAAUACGAAGGGGGCUAGCGUUGUUCGGAUUUACUGGGCGUAAAGGGUGCGUAGGCGGAUUGUUAAGUCAGGGGUGAACUCCCGAGGCUCAACCUCGGAACUGCCUUUGAUACUGGCGAUCUUGAGUCCGGGAGAGGUGAGUGGAACUGCGAGUGUAGAGGUGAAAUUCGUAGAUAUUCGCAAGAACACCGGUGGCGAAGGCGGCUCACUGGCCCGGAACUGACGCUGAGGCACGAAAGCGUGGGGAGCAAACAGGAUUAGAUACCCCAGUAGUCCCUGUCUCUUAUAC